AGCCCCGCGGACAACCCUAAGAGCUGCAACUGCUCUCCCAGGAGCGUUGUCACAUUACAUCCCGGGGGAGAAGGGACCCGGAGCCCCUCCACCAAUUCCCUGGUUUAGCACCGCACUGUAAAGUGCAGCACUGCAAGUCCGCCCCUCCCCCGCUCACUGCCAACCGCAAGGGCAGCUGAGGAUGAGGAAGCUGAAACCGGCCCCGCCGGCUUCCUUUCCUCGGUCAGGUUGAACGGCAGAGGACAGAGCCACAGGAUGGAGUCUACAGUUUUCUUACCUGUGCAGUCUCAUCUCCGGAGAACUAAGGACCUUGGACAAAUCACGUGCUUAUGACACCUCCGGCUCCCUGCUCAUGGGGUGUGCAUUGUAUCACCAAGUCUCCAUCUUUUCUCGGCAAAUACACUGGUGGAAGGGACCAAAGAGCCUCAGGCAGCACCCCUCGCCCAGACUAGAGGAACAGGAGAGACUCCCUGCAGAGCUGAUGUUCGUGGGCAGCCCAGUCACUGACCUUCAGACAGUAACUUCAGGCAGUGGCCUUCAGACAGUGGCCAUUUCCCCAGGAAAAUGCCCCACCCAAAAUAAACUUGUUGUGUGGAACAAGCCUUUGGUCCAUCCACAGUGAAAACACCCUGUGAAAACUUGUCUCCUUACCAGCAGAAAGGCUAUGCAUGAUGCGUUCCACAUAUCGGUAAGGAAUAAUGACCAUUCCUCAUGGCGCAGGGGAGGAGAUCCUGAAUUUGCAACUCUUACCCAGUCCAGUGGUAUAAAAGUUUCUGCCACGGCU
This is a long non-coding RNA of Meriones unguiculatus (Mongolian gerbil), 784 nucleotides long. RefSeq lists it as uncharacterized. The record is from RefSeq and is a predicted model, not a curated record. The transcript has 4 exons. Lineage: Eukaryota; Metazoa; Chordata; Mammalia; Rodentia; Muridae.